GUGAGGAAUUUUCCGCAAUGGGCGAAAGCCUGACGGAGCAAUGCCGCGUGAAGGAUGAAGGCCUAUGGGUUGUAAACUUCUUUUCUUAGAGAAGAAUAUUGACGGUAUCUGAGGAAUAAGCAUCGGCUAACUCUGUGCCAGCAGCCGCGGUAAGACAGAGGAUGCAAGCGUUAUCCGGAAUGAUUGGGCGUAAAGCGUCUGUAGGUGGCUUCAAAAGUCGCCUGUCAAAGAUCAGGGCUUAACCCUGGGCCGGCAGGGGAAACUCUGAGGCUAGAGUUUGGUAGGGGCAGAGGGAAUUCCCGGUGGAGCAGUGAAAUGCGUAGAGAUCGGGAGGAACACCAAAGGCGAAAGCACUCUGCUGGGCCACAACUGACACUGAGAGACGAAAGCGAGGGGAGCAAAAGGGAUUAGAAACCCUUGUAGUCC
This 426-nucleotide ribosomal RNA is filed under the name uncultured bacterium. Its description in RNAcentral is "partial 16S ribosomal RNA". It matches the Rfam family "Bacterial small subunit ribosomal RNA", at positions 354 to 796 of the family's 1533-position model. The record is from RNAcentral.